This is a long non-coding RNA of Episyrphus balteatus (marmalade hoverfly), 356 nucleotides long. RefSeq lists it as uncharacterized. The record is from RefSeq and is a predicted model, not a curated record. The transcript is spliced from 2 exons. Lineage: Eukaryota; Metazoa; Arthropoda; Insecta; Diptera; Syrphidae.
UAUUGCUAAAAACUAUAAAAAUUAAAAAAAAAGUAUAAGCGCACCCUAAUUAAACCAUGAAAAGUAUAACAGCGCCUAAUUUUCCACCACACAAAAAUAGCUCAAAGGUGAGUAUUUUGACAGAUGAAAAUUAUGUAAAAAAAAAAAUGGGAGGCACAGAUGAGAUAUAUAGCGCCAACAAAUAAAAACAAUUAAUCUGAAACAUCAAACCAACUUGCAUUUCCAAAUGGACCAUUCACACGACAGCAUGGAUGUUCUGUAUGAAUCUACUCUACCUGCUGGGCGCUCAACGCAAACAAAAUCGUUUCUUUUGUUCAAUUUAUUAACAAAGACAAAAAAUGUUUACUUAUAAUUAA